RNAcentral lists this ribosomal RNA (253 nucleotides) under uncultured bacterium. RNAcentral describes it as "partial 16S ribosomal RNA". It matches the Rfam family "Bacterial small subunit ribosomal RNA", at positions 524 to 776 of the family's 1533-position model. The record is from RNAcentral.
AACGUAGGAGACAAACGUUAUCCGGAGUUACUGGGCGUAAAGGGCGUGUAGGCGGUUGGCUAAGUCUGGCGUGAAAGCUCUCGGCUAAACCGGGAGAGGUCGUUGGAUACUGGUCGACUAGAGGAUGGUAGAGGCGUGUGGAAUUCCGGGUGUAGUGGUGAAAUGCGUAGAGAUCCGGAGGAACACCAGUGGCGAAGGCGACACGCUGGGCCAUACCUGACGCUCAAGCGCGACAGCAUGGGGAGCAAACGGG